This 468-nucleotide ribosomal RNA is filed under the name uncultured bacterium. RNAcentral describes it as "partial 16S ribosomal RNA". It matches the Rfam family "Bacterial small subunit ribosomal RNA", at positions 28 to 507 of the family's 1533-position model. The record is from RNAcentral.
GACGAACGCUGGCGGCGUGCUUAACACAUGCAAGUCGAACGGAAAGGCCCUGCUUUUGUGGGGUGCUCGAGUGGCGAACGGGUGAGUAACACGUGAGUAACCUGCCCUUGACUUUGGGAUAACUUCAGGAAACUGGGGCUAAUACCGGAUAGGAGCUCCUGCUGCAUGGGGGGGGUUGGAAAGUUUCGGCGGUUGGGGAUGGACUCGCGGCUUAUCAGCUUGUUGGUGGGGUAGUGGCUUACAAAGGCUUUGACGGGUAGCCGGCCUGAGAGGGUGACCGGCCACAUUGGGACUGAGAUACGGCCCAGACUCCUACGGGAGGCAGCAGUGGGGAAUAUUGCACAAUGGGCGGAAGCCUGAUGCAGCAACGCCGCGUGCGGGAUGACGGCCUUCGGGUUGUAAACCGCUUUCGCCUGUGACGAAGCGUGAGUGACGGUAAUGGGUAAAGAAGCACCGGCUAACUACGUG